AUGAGGGCACCCUGAUCAGCCAUGCCGCGUGAGUGAAGAAGGCCUUCGGGUUGUAAAGCUCUUUCGGCCGGGAAGAAAUCGUGGUCUCUAACAUAGGCCAUGGAUGACGGUACCGGACUAAGAAGCACCGGCUAACUACGUGCCAGCAGCCGCGGUAAUACGUAGGGUGCGAGCGUUAAUCGGAAUUACUGGGCGUAAAGCGUGCGCAGGCGGUUUUGUAAGACAGAUGUGAAAUCCCCGGGCUUAACCUGGGAACUGCGUUUGUGACUGCAAGGCUAGAGUACGGCAGAGGGGGGUGGAAUUCCUGGUGUAGCAGUGAAAUGCGUAGAGAUCAGGAGGAACACCGAUGGCGAAGGCAGCCCCCUGGGCCUGUACUGACGCUCAUGCACGAAAGCGUGGGGAGCAAACAGGAUUAGAUACCCUGGUAGUCCACGCCCUAAACGAUGUCGACUAGUCGUUCGGAGCAGCAAUGCACUGAGUGACGCAGCUAACGCGUGAAGUCGACCGCCUGGGGAGUACGGCCGCAAGGUUA
This 532-nucleotide ribosomal RNA is filed under the name uncultured bacterium. RNAcentral describes it as "bacterial SSU rRNA". It matches the Rfam family "Bacterial small subunit ribosomal RNA", at positions 371 to 896 of the family's 1533-position model. The record is from RNAcentral.